AGAGUUUGAUCAUGGCUCAGGAUGAACGCUGGCGGCGUGCCUAACACAUGCAAGUCGAACGGAGUUAUAUAACGGAAGUUUCGGAUGGAAGAUAUAUAACUUAGUGGCGGACGGGUGAGUAACGCGUGGGCAACCUGCCCUGUACCGGGGGAUAACACUUAGAAAUAGGUGCUAAUACCGCAUAAGCGCACAGCUUCGCAUGAAGCAGUGUAGAAAAAACUCCGGUGGUACAGGAUGGACCCGCGUCUGAUUAGCUAGUUGGGUGGGGUAGAGGCCCACCAAGGCGACGAUCAGUAGCCGGCCUGAGAGGGUGACCGGCCACAGUUGGGACUGAGACACCGGACCCAAACUCCGUACGGGAGGCAGCAGGUGGGGAAUAUUGCACAAUGGGGGAAACCCUGAUGCAAGCGACGCCGCGUGAGUGAAGAAGUAUUUCGGUACGUAAAGCUCUAUCAGCAGGGAAGAAAAUGACGGUACCUGACUAAGAAGCCCCGGCUAACUACGUGCCAGCAGCAGC
This 517-nucleotide ribosomal RNA is filed under the name uncultured bacterium. Its description in RNAcentral is "bacterial SSU rRNA". It matches the Rfam family "Bacterial small subunit ribosomal RNA", at positions 8 to 518 of the family's 1533-position model. The record is from RNAcentral.